GAAUCCCGUCUUUGGCACGGAUGUACCGGGGCUUUUGUGAUGCGCUCUCGAAGAGUCGAGUUGUUUGGGAAUGCAGCUCAAAAUGGGUGGUGGGCUCCAUCUAAAGCUAAAUAUUGGCGAGAGACCGAUAGCGAACAAGUACCGUGAGGGAAAGAUGAAAAGCACUUUGGAAAGAGAGUGAAACAGUACGUGAAAUUGUUGAAAGGGAAACGCUUGAAGUCAGUCGCGUCGACCGAGACUCAGCCUCGCCUCGGCUUGGUGUACUUCUCGGCUGACGGGUCAGCAUCAAUUUUGCCCCUUGGAUAAUGGCGAGGGAAAUGUGACACCUUUGCGGUGUGUUAUAGUCUCUCGUCGCAUGCAAGGGUCGGGAUUGAGGAACUCAGCACGCGCCUUUGGGCGUCGGGGCUUUGCCCACGAUACGUGCUUAGGAUGCUGGCGUAAUGGCUUUAAACGACCCGUCUUGAAACACGGACCAAGGAGUCUAACAUGCCUGCGAGUGUUCGGGUGGAAAACCCGUGCGCGCAAUGAAAGUGAAAGUUGGGACCUCUGUCGUGGAGGGCACCGACGCCCGGACCAGACCUUCUGUGACGGUUCUGCGGUAGAGCAUGUAUGUUAGGACCCGAAAGAUGGUGAACUAUGCCUGAAUAGGGUGAAGCCAGAGGAAACUCUGGUGGAGGCUCGUAGCGAUUCUGACGUGCAAAUCGAUCGUCAAAUUUGGGUAUAGGGGCGAAAGACUAAUCGAACCAUCUAGUAGCUGGUUCCUGCC
RNAcentral lists this ribosomal RNA (766 nucleotides) under uncultured Russula. RNAcentral's name for it is "partial 28S ribosomal RNA". It matches the Rfam family "Eukaryotic large subunit ribosomal RNA", at positions 216 to 962 of the family's 3401-position model. Lineage: Eukaryota; Fungi; Basidiomycota; Agaricomycetes; Russulales; Russulaceae. The record is from RNAcentral.